GACGAACGCUGGCGGCGUGCUUAACACAUGCAAGUCGAACGGAAAGGCCCUGCUUUUGUGGGGUGCUCGAGUGGCGAACGGGUGAGUAACACGUGAGUAACCUGCCCUUGACUUUGGGAUAACUUCAGGAAACGGGGGCUAAUACCGGAUAGGAGCUCCUGCUGCAUGGGGGGGGUUGGAAAGUUUCGGCGGUUGGGGUUGGACUCGCGGCUUAUCAGCUGGUUGGUGGGGUAGUGGCUUACCAAGGCUUUGACGGGUAGCCGGCCUGAGAGGGUGACCGGCCACAUUGGGACUGAGAUACGGCCCAGCCUCCUACGGGAGGCAGCAGGGGGGAAUAUUGCACAAUGGGCGGAAGCCUGAUGCAGCAACGCCGCGGGCGGGAUGACGGCCUUCGGGUUGUAAACCGCUUUCGCCUGUGACGAAGCGUGAGUGACGGUAAUGGGUAAAGAAGCACCGGCUAACUACGUG
Molecule: ribosomal RNA, 468 nt
Filed under: uncultured bacterium
Lineage: Bacteria
Description: partial 16S ribosomal RNA
Rfam family: Bacterial small subunit ribosomal RNA
Source: RNAcentral